Gopherus evgoodei (Goodes thornscrub tortoise) is the source of this 82-nucleotide non-coding RNA. Lineage: Eukaryota; Metazoa; Chordata; Testudines; Testudinidae. The record is from the annotation of a RefSeq genome assembly.
GGUGAGGUGACCAAGUGGUUAAGGGGAUGGACUGCUAAUCCAUUUUGCCCUGCAUGCAUGGGUUCAAAUCCUAUCCUCCUCA